GAUCAUGGCUCAGGAUGAACGCUAGCUACAGGCUUAACACAUGCAAGUCGAGGGGAAACGACAUCGAAAGCUUGCUUUUGAUGGGCGUCGACCGGCGCACGGGUGAGUAACGCGUAUCCAACCUGCCCAUCACUUGGGGAUAACCUUGCGAAAGUAAGACUAAUACCCAAUGAUAUCUCUAGAAGACAUCUGAAAGAGAUUAAAGAUUUAUCGGUGAUGGAUGGGGAUGCGUCUGAUUAGCUUGUUGGCGGGGUAACGGCCCACCAAGGCAACGAUCAGUAGGGGUUCUGAGAGGAAGGUCCCCCACAUUGGAACUGAGACACGGUCCAAACUCCUACGGGAGGCAGCAGUGAGGAAUAUUGGUCAAUGGGCGAGAGCCUGAACCAGCCAAGUAGCGUGCAGGAUGACGGCCCUAUGGGUUGUAAACUGCUUUUAUAAGGGAAUAAAGUUAGUCUCGUGGGACUUUUUGCAUGUACCUUAUGAAUAAGGACCGGCUAAUUCCGUG
RNAcentral lists this ribosomal RNA (505 nucleotides) under uncultured bacterium. RNAcentral describes it as "bacterial SSU rRNA". It matches the Rfam family "Bacterial small subunit ribosomal RNA", at positions 15 to 507 of the family's 1533-position model. The record is from RNAcentral.